GACGAACGCUGGCGGCGUGCCUAAUACAUGCAAGUAGAACGCUGAAGAGAGGAGCUUACUCUUCUUGGAUGAGUUGCGAACGGGUGAGUAACGCGUAGGUAACCUGCCUUGUAGCGGGGGAUAACUAUUGGAAACGAUAGCUAAUACCGCAUAACAAUGGAUGACACAUGUCAUUUAUUUGAAAGGGGCAAUUGCUCCACUACAAGAUGGACCUGCGUUGUAUUAGCUAGUAGGUGAGGUAAUGGCUCACCUAGGCGACGAUACAUAGCCGACCUGAGAGGGUGAUCGGCCACACUGGGACUGAGACACGGCCCAGACUCCUACGGGAGGCAGCAGUAGGGAAUCUUCGGCAAUGGGGGCAACCCUGACCGAGCAACGCCGCGUGAGUGAAGAAGGUUUUCGGAUCGUAAAGCUCUGUUGUAAGCCAAGAACGGGUGUGAGAGUGGAAAGUUCACACUGUGACGGUAGCUUACCAGAAAGGGACGGCUAACUACGUG
This 497-nucleotide ribosomal RNA is filed under the name uncultured bacterium. Its description in RNAcentral is "partial 16S ribosomal RNA". It matches the Rfam family "Bacterial small subunit ribosomal RNA", at positions 28 to 507 of the family's 1533-position model. The record is from RNAcentral.